GAAAUGCUUAGAUNUCACGAAGAACUCCGAUUGCGAAGGCAGCUUGCUGGACUGUAACUGACGCUGAGGCACGAAAGCGUGGGGAUCAAACAGGAUUAGAUACCNNGGUAGNCCACGCCGUAAACGAUGAAUGCUAGCUGUUAGCGAUAUACUGUUAGCGGCACAGAGAAAUCGUUAAGCAUUCCACCUGGGGAGUACGCCGGCAACGGUGAAACUCAAAGGAAUUGACGGGGGCCCGCACAAGCGGAGGAACAUGUGGUUUAAUUCGAUGAUACGCGAGGAACCUUACCUGGGCUUAAAUUGCAGUGGAAUAACGUGGAAACAUGUUAGCCUUCGGGCCGCUGUGAAGGUGCUGCAUGGUUGUCGUCAGCUCGUGCCGUGAGGUGUCGGCUUAAGUGCCAUAACGAGCGCAACCCUCAUCGAUAGUUACUAACAGGUUAAGCUGAGGACUCUAUCGAGACUGCCGACGUAAGUCGUGAGGAAGGUGGGGAUGACGUCAAAUCAGCACGGCCCUUACGUCCAGGGCUACACACGUGUUACAAUGGGGGGUACAAAGGGCAGCUACCUGGCGACAGGAUGCUAAUCUCAAAAACCUCUCUCAGUUCGGAUUGGAGUCUGCAACCCGACUCCAUGAAGCUGGAUUCGCUAGUAAUCGCGCAUCAGCCACGGCGCGGUGAAUACGUUCCCGGGCCUUGUACACACCGCCCGUCAAGCCAUGGGAGCCGGGGGGACCUGAAGUAUGCAACCGUAAGGAGCGUCCUAGGGUAAAACUGGUGACUGGGGCU
RNAcentral lists this ribosomal RNA (785 nucleotides) under uncultured prokaryote. RNAcentral's name for it is "bacterial SSU rRNA". It matches the Rfam family "Bacterial small subunit ribosomal RNA", at positions 683 to 1482 of the family's 1533-position model. The record is from RNAcentral.